Molecule: ribosomal RNA, 240 nt
Filed under: uncultured bacterium
Lineage: Bacteria
Description: partial 16S ribosomal RNA
Rfam family: Bacterial small subunit ribosomal RNA
Source: RNAcentral
AGUGGCGGACGGGCGAGUAACGCGUGGGUAACCUGCCUCAUACAGGGGGAUAACAGUUAGAAAUGACUGCUAAUACCGCAUAAGACCACAGCACCGCAUGGUGCAGGGGUAAAAACUCCGGUGGUAUGAGAUGGACCCGCGUCUGAUUAGGUAGUUGGUGGGGUAACGGCCUACCAAGCCGACGAUCAGUAGCCGACCUGAGAGGGUGACCGGCCACAUUGGGACUGAGACACGGCCCAA